AGUGAACGCUGGCGGUAGGCCUAACACAUGCAAGUCGAACGGCAGCACAGUAAGAGCUUGCUCUUACGGGUGGCGAGUGGCGGAUGGGUGAGGAAUACAUCGGAAUCUACUUUUUCGUGGGGGAUAACGUAGGGAAACUUACGCUAAUACCGCAUACGACCUACCGGUGAAAGCAGGGGAUCUUGGGAGCUUGCGCGAUUGAAUGAGCCGAUGUCGGAUUAGCUAGUUGGCGGGGUAAAGGCCCACCAAGGCGACGAUCCGUAGCUGAUCUGAGAGGAUGAUCAGCCACACUGGAACUGAGACACGGUCCAGACUCCUACGGGAGGCAGCAGUGGGGAAUAUUGGACAAUGGGCGCAAGCCUGAUCCAGCCAUACCGCGUGAGUGAAGAAGGCCUUCGGGUUGUAAAGCCCUUUUGUUGGGAAAGAAAAACAGCGGGUUAAUACCCCGCUGUUCUGACGGUACCCAAAGAAUAAGCACCGGCUAACUUCGUG
Molecule: ribosomal RNA, 492 nt
Filed under: uncultured bacterium
Lineage: Bacteria
Description: partial 16S ribosomal RNA
Rfam family: Bacterial small subunit ribosomal RNA
Source: RNAcentral